UACGUAGGGUGCGAGCGUUAAUCGGAAUUACUGGGCGUAAAGCGUGUGCAGGCGGUUUUGGAAGGCAGAUGUGAAAUCCCCGGGCUUAACCUGGGAAUGGCAUUUGGGACUGCAAGGCUGGAGUGCGGCAGAGGAGACUGGAAUUCCGCGUGUAGCAGUGAAAUGCGUAGAGAUGCGGAGGAACACCGAUGGCGAAGGCAGCCCCCUGGGCUAGCACUGACGCUCAGGCACGAAAGCGUGGGGAGCAAACAGG
This 253-nucleotide ribosomal RNA is filed under the name uncultured bacterium. Its description in RNAcentral is "partial 16S ribosomal RNA". It matches the Rfam family "Bacterial small subunit ribosomal RNA", at positions 524 to 776 of the family's 1533-position model. The record is from RNAcentral.